This 58-nucleotide transfer RNA is filed under the name Halotydeus destructor. RNAcentral describes it as "tRNA-Cys". Lineage: Eukaryota; Metazoa; Arthropoda; Arachnida; Trombidiformes; Penthaleidae. The record is from RNAcentral.
AAAUUAGUAUUUUAGUAGAAUAAUAAGUUGCAAACUUAUAGGUAAUUUUUCUAAUUUU